UGGGGAAUAUUGCACAAUAGGGGAAACCCUGAUGCAGCGACGCCGCGUGAGCGAUGAAGUAUUUCGGUAUGUAAAGCUCUAUCAGCAGGGAAGAUAAUGACGGUACCUGACUAAGAAGCUCCGGCUAAAUACGUGCCAGCAGCCGCGGUAAUACGUAUGGAGCAAGCGUUAUCCGGAUUUACUGGGUGUAAAGGGAGCGUAGGCGGUCCUGCAAGUCUGAUGUGAAAACCCGGGGCUCAACCCCGGGACUGCAUUGGAAACUGUAGGACUAGAGUGUCGGAGGGGUAAGUGGAAUUCCUAGUGUAGCGGUGAAAUGCGUAGAUAUUAGGAGGAACACCAGUGGCGAAGGCGGCUUACUGGACGACCACUGACGCUGAGGCUCGAAAGCGUGGGGAGCAAACAGG
RNAcentral lists this ribosomal RNA (404 nucleotides) under Acidobacteriota bacterium. Its description in RNAcentral is "Acidobacteria bacterium partial 16S ribosomal RNA". It matches the Rfam family "Bacterial small subunit ribosomal RNA", at positions 355 to 776 of the family's 1533-position model. Lineage: Bacteria; Pseudomonadati; Acidobacteriota. The record is from RNAcentral.